UACGGAGGAUGCGAGCGUUAUCCGGAUUUAUUGGGUUUAAAGGGUGCGUAGGCGGGAUGCCAAGUCAGCGGUAAAAAUGCGGUGCUCAACGCCGUCGAGCCGUUGAAACUGGCGUUCUUGAGUGGGCGAGAAGUAUGCGGAAUGCGUGGUGUAGCGGUGAAAUGUAUAGAUAUCACGCAGAACUCCGAUUGCGAAGGCAGCAUACCGGCGCCCUACUGACGCUGAGGCACGAAAGCGUGGGUAUCGAACAGG
This 252-nucleotide ribosomal RNA is filed under the name uncultured bacterium. Its description in RNAcentral is "partial 16S ribosomal RNA". It matches the Rfam family "Bacterial small subunit ribosomal RNA", at positions 524 to 776 of the family's 1533-position model. The record is from RNAcentral.